Small nuclear RNA from Cervus hanglu yarkandensis (Yarkand deer), 104 nucleotides. NCBI's taxonomy places the organism in Eukaryota, Metazoa, Chordata, Mammalia, Artiodactyla, Cervidae. The record is from Ensembl.
GCAUUCUGAUAGUGCAUAUAAAAAGUUUUGGGAAUGAUAAAAGAAGAUUAACAUGGAUGCUGCGUAAGAAUGAGACACAAAUUCAUGAAGUACUCCAUGUUUUU